AGAGUUAAACAGUACGUGAAAUUGUUGAAAGGGAAACGAUUAAAGUCAGUCGUACGGACGGGGAAUCAGCCUUUCGGGCGUGAAUUCGCGGGAUUCGAAGAGACUUUGACCUCGCGGUAUUCGGGUUCUUUGGGUGUACUUUCCCGUAACGUAGGUCAGCAUCGGUUUCGAACGUCACAAAAUGAUCGGGGGAAUGUGGCUUCGACCUCGGUUGAAGUGUUAUAGCCUCUGGUAGAUGUAAUGAUCGGGAUCGAGGAUUGCAACGGAUGCCCUUCACGGGCUAUCCGCCUGACCUCUGAUGCGACACCCCGGUGUCGAAAGCUUGCUUACGAUAUCGGGGCGUUCGUUCAAUAGGUUAGAACGGAUUAAAUUCGUUAAGGACGCUGACGUAAUGGCUUUAAACGACC
Molecule: ribosomal RNA, 407 nt
Filed under: Sclerocarpum amazonicum
Lineage: Eukaryota; Fungi; Glomeromycota; Glomeromycetes; Glomerales; Glomeraceae
Description: partial large subunit ribosomal RNA
Source: RNAcentral